GGCUCGCUGUGGGGCCGAGGCAGGCCAGCAGUCAGGCGGGCGGGCGAUGGCGGGGGCCGCAGUGGGCGGCAGAGGCGGAGGUGCCUAGGGGCCAGGGCACGGAGGGGCAGGGGGCCUCCGGCGGGGCUGCUCUCCCCCAGCCCCCGCUGGCUCCCCCCGGGCUGGGCUGCAGCCGCUCAGGGCCACCGUCCCUUUCCAGCUGCAGCAGCCGCAGCAGCACCGGGACGGGGGUGGCCGCGCAGCCAGCGUCCCGUGUUCCGUGGCCCCAGAAAAGCCAGUGUGUAGGCCUCAGCCACCCCAGGUCCGGCGUACAUUCUCCCUGGACACCAUCCUCAGCUCCUCCCUUCUGGGCCAGUGGCCACGAGAUGCUGAUGGGGCCUUCACCUGCUGUACCAAUAACAAGGCCACCCAGACCCCCCUGCCCUGGCCACAGCUUGAAGGUGAGCGGGCCAGCUCGUGUACACACAAGCACUCAGCGUCCUGGGGCAGCACAGACCACCGAAACGAGAUUACCAAGUUGAAGCAACAGCUGCAGAGGACAAAGCUUAGCCGCAGUGGGAAAGAGAAGGAGCGGGCAUCCCCCCUCCAAGGGGACCAUGCUGUGCGGGGAGCACUGAGGGCGUCCCCUCCCAGCUUCCCCUCAGGGUCCUCUGUCCUGCGACUGAGCCCCUGCCUGCACCGGAGCCUGGAAGGGCUCAACCAAGAGCUGCAGGAGGUGUUUGUGAAAGAGCAGGGUGAGGAGGAGCUGCUGCGGAUCCUUGAAAUCCCUGACGGACACCGAGCCCCAGCUCCCCUCCAGAGCGGCAGCUGUGAUCAUCCCCUCCUCCUCCUGGAGCCUGGAAACCUUGCCAGCUCUCCCUCCAUGCCCCUGGCAGCCCCCCAGCCUUCUGGCCAGACUGGCCGUGAGGAACACCAGGGUGCAGCCGAGGAGCUGACGUCCAUCCCCAGUGACAAAGCUUCCCCUCCAGGCCACCCAGCCUUCCUUGAAGAGGGCAGCCCAUCUCCAGUCCUUGCCUUUGCCGCCUCCCCUCGGUCCAAUCACAGCUACAUCUUCAAAUGGGAACCCCCGUAAGGCUGUGAGAAACUGCGGGUGUUUGAAGAGGCCACGUCCCCAGGUCCUGACCUGGCCUUCCUGACUUCCUGUCCUGACAAGAACAAAGUCCAUUUCAACCCAACCGGCUCGGCUUUCUGCCCCGUCAGCUUGAUGAAGCCCCUCUUCCCCAGCAUGGGCUUCAUCUUCCGUAACUGCCCCUCAAGCCCGGGGUCCCCCCUUCCCCCGGCCAGCCCCAGGCCACCGCCUCGGAAGGAUCCAGAGGCCCCCAAGGCCUCCUCGCUGCCAUUCGAGCCUUGGCAGUGCCCCCCACCGUCAGAAGAGCCUGCGCUUUUCCAGAGCUCCCUGGUGGUCUGAGGGCCCCACCCCCACUUCACCAUGGAGACCAGUGCCUUGGUGGCAGGCCCCUCCCGAGCUCCCCUGAGAUGGGGGAUGAAGGAGCCCUUCCCUCCUGGCCUUUGAGCACUU
Delphinapterus leucas (beluga whale) is the source of this 1519-nucleotide non-coding RNA. Lineage: Eukaryota; Metazoa; Chordata; Mammalia; Artiodactyla; Monodontidae. The record is from RefSeq and is a predicted model, not a curated record.